UAUUUACCCUCAACCUUUUACAGAAGAAAGCCUCCUGCUGUGUGAGGAAAGAGCCCAGAGCCUGCCAGUGCGCAGAGCUUGACUGGCUCUUCUCCCGAACGAAGUGCCACUCAGGAGACAACGAGAGGGACAGAGGCCGGGUGGACGCCGUUUGUUGCAGAGAAGGAAAACUCAGGAAACUCAGACCUGGUGCUCGAAGAGUAUCUGUGUGGAAGGACAAGGACCUGGACACUAGAUGAGAAAACAAAACCCUGGGAAAGGCGUACCGUCGCCUGUAAGAAAGGAGCCGCAGGUUGGACCCCCAGUCUGCGUCCGCAGC
Molecule: long non-coding RNA, 319 nt
Organism: Talpa occidentalis (Iberian mole)
Lineage: Eukaryota; Metazoa; Chordata; Mammalia; Eulipotyphla; Talpidae
Exons: 3
Source: RefSeq, a predicted model, not a curated record